This 510-nucleotide ribosomal RNA is filed under the name uncultured bacterium. RNAcentral describes it as "partial 16S ribosomal RNA". It matches the Rfam family "Bacterial small subunit ribosomal RNA", at positions 28 to 507 of the family's 1533-position model. The record is from RNAcentral.
GACGAACGCUGGCGGCGUGCUUAACACAUGCAAGUCGAACGAAGAGCGAUGGAAGCUUGCUUCUAUCACUCUUAGUGGCGCACGGGUGAGUAACGCGUAAUCAACCUGCCCUUCAGAGGGGGACAACAGUUGGAAACGACUGCUAAUACCGCAUACAAUCCAAUCUCGGCAUCGGGACUGGAUGAAAGGUGGCCUCUAUUUAUAAGCUAUCACUGAAGGAGGGGAUUGCGUCUGAUUAGCUAGUUGGAGGGGUAACGGCCCACCAAGGCGAUGAUCAGUAGCCGGUCUGAGAGGAUGAACGGCCACAUUGGGACUGAGACACGGCCCAGACUCCUACGGGAGGCAGCAGUGGGGAAUCUUCCGCAAUGGACGAAAGUCUGACGGAGCAACGCCGCGUGAGUGAUGACGGCCUUCGGGUUGUAAAGCUCUGUUAAUCGGGACGAAUGGUUCUUGUGCGAAUAGUGCGAGGAUUUGACGGUACCGGAAUAGAAAGCCACGGCUAACUACGUG